RNAcentral lists this ribosomal RNA (164 nucleotides) under uncultured bacterium. RNAcentral describes it as "partial 16S rRNA". It matches the Rfam family "Bacterial small subunit ribosomal RNA", at positions 355 to 511 of the family's 1533-position model. The record is from RNAcentral.
UAGGGAAUCUUCCACAAUGGACGCAAGUCUGAUGGAGCAACGCCGCGUGAGUGAAGAAGGGUUUCGGCUCGUAAAGCUCUGUUGUUAAAGAAGAACACGUAUGAGAGUAACUGUUCAUACGUUGACGGUAUUUAACCAGAAAGGGACGGCUAACUACGUGCCAG